Molecule: microRNA precursor, 77 nt
Filed under: Astyanax mexicanus (Mexican tetra)
Lineage: Eukaryota; Metazoa; Chordata; Actinopteri; Characiformes; Acestrorhamphidae
Description: mir-205 microRNA precursor family
Rfam family: mir-205 microRNA precursor family
Source: Rfam by way of RNAcentral
GCUUUCUAUCCUUCAUUCCACCGGAGUCUGUAUGUCUUUGACCAGUCAGAUUUCAGUGGUGUGAAGAAUAUGAGGCA